GACGGAGGAUGCAAGUGUUAUCCGGAAUCACUGGGCGUAAAGCGUCUGUAGGGGGUUUCAAAAGUCCACUGUUAAAGAUUGAAGCUUAACUUCAAAAAUGCCGUGGAAACUUUGAAACUUGAGUAUGAUAGGGGUAGAGGGAAUUUCCAGUGGAGCGGUGAAAUGCGUAGAUAUUGGAAAGACCACCAAUGGCGAAGGCACUCUACUGGGCCAUUACUGACACUGAGAGACGAAAGCUAGGGGAGCAAAUGGG
RNAcentral lists this ribosomal RNA (253 nucleotides) under uncultured bacterium. RNAcentral describes it as "partial 16S ribosomal RNA". It matches the Rfam family "Bacterial small subunit ribosomal RNA", at positions 524 to 776 of the family's 1533-position model. The record is from RNAcentral.